GACGAACGCUGGCGGCGUGCUUAACACAUGCAAGUCGAACGGAAAGGCCCUGCUUUUGUGGGUUGCUUGAGUGGCGAACGGGUGAGUAACACGUGAGUAUCCUGCCCUUGACUUUGGGAUAACUUCAGGUAACUGGGGCUAAUACCGGAUAGGAGCUCCUGCUGCAUGGUGGGGGUUGGAAAGUUUCGGCGGUUGGGGAUGGACUCGCGGCUUAUCAGCUUGUUGGUGGGGUAGUGGCUUACCAAGGCUUUGACGGGUAGCCGGCCUGAGAGGGGAACCGGCCAAAUGGGGACGGGGAUACGGCCCAGACUCCUACGGGAGGCAGCGGGGGGGAAUAUUGCACAAUGGGCGGAGGCCUGAUGCGGCAACGCCGCGGGCGGUAUAACGGCCUUCGGGUUGUAAACCGCUUUCGCAGGUGACGAGGCGUGAGUGACGGUAAUGGAUAAAGAAGCACCGGCUAACUACGUG
This 468-nucleotide ribosomal RNA is filed under the name uncultured bacterium. RNAcentral's name for it is "partial 16S ribosomal RNA". It matches the Rfam family "Bacterial small subunit ribosomal RNA", at positions 28 to 507 of the family's 1533-position model. The record is from RNAcentral.